AUGUGCUCUAUUUGCGGAGUAGAAGAGGAAAGCACGUUUCAUGCCCUAGUUAUUUGUCCUAAGUCUCGUGCACUGCGACGGGUCUUGAGAGAAUCGUGGAAUAUUCCUGAUGAAGAGUGGUUCAAAUUCUCAGGACCAGAUUGGCUAUUGAUUUUGUUGGAUCUUUUGAGCUUGCAACAGAGAGGGCAAGUUUUAUUUCUGUUCUGGCGAGCAUGGCACCUGAGAAAUGAUUUAAUUUUUGGAAAAGGGAAGGAAUCC
This 258-nucleotide ribosomal RNA is filed under the name Triticum aestivum (bread wheat). RNAcentral describes it as "partial small subunit ribosomal RNA". Lineage: Eukaryota; Viridiplantae; Streptophyta; Magnoliopsida; Poales; Poaceae. The record is from RNAcentral.